AGAGAAGUUUCUCUCAGUGGUGUUAGAGUGCAUUCUUUGUAUGUAUGAUGUCCUGGGUUCAAUCCCCAGCUUCUCUC
Dallia pectoralis (Alaska blackfish) is the source of this 77-nucleotide non-coding RNA. The record is from the annotation of a GenBank genome assembly. Lineage: Eukaryota; Metazoa; Chordata; Actinopteri; Esociformes; Umbridae.